RNAcentral lists this ribosomal RNA (440 nucleotides) under uncultured bacterium. RNAcentral's name for it is "partial 16S ribosomal RNA". It matches the Rfam family "Bacterial small subunit ribosomal RNA", at positions 338 to 795 of the family's 1533-position model. The record is from RNAcentral.
CCUACGGGAGGCAGCAGUAGGGAAUAUUGCACAAUGGGGGAAACUCUGAUGCAGCAACGCCGCGUGGAGGAAGAAGGAUUUCGGAUUGUAAAGCUCUAUCGUCAGAGAAGAUAGUGACGGUACCUAACGAAUAAGCACCGGCUAAAUACGUGCCAGCAGCCGCGGUAAUACGUAGGGUGCAAGCGUUAUCCGGAUUUACUGGGCGUAAAGGGCGAGUAGGUGGGAGAGCAAGUCAGAUGUGAAAUCCCAAAGCUUAACCAUAGGACUGCAUUUGAAACUGUUCUGCUAGAGUGUGGGAGAGGUAAGUGGAAUUCUUAGUGUAGCGGUGAAAUGCGUAGAGAUCAGGAGGAAUACUCGUUGCGAAGGCGACCUGCUGGAACGUAACUGACACUGAUGCGCGAAAGCGUGGGGAGCAAACAGGAUUAGAUACCCUGGUAGUC